UUUCUCUGUGGUUUUGAAAAGUGUUGUGUGGCUAUAAAUACAUGGAACAUUGCAUUAAACCAAGAAAUAUAUCUUACAGAUAAAGAUUUUGUUGAAGUUCAAUGUCAGAGGUAAGAAAAAAAUGCAAGAAAUUUGUGCAAGUAUGUUAUCUCAAUGCAUCAAAAUCAAGGGACGAUGCUGCUAAUCAAAUAUCUUUCACAGCAAAAACAUUACAAUAUGAGAAUCAUGAGAGGUGAUGCUGCUCUUAGCCUUCUGCAUAAAGGCAGAACUCAUGCAUGGAGUCGGCAAAAACAUAAAGUAGGAUUUUUUUCACAGAUACAGCAUCUUCAUUCUAUGUCAGAAGUUAGUGAAAGAAAUCCAAGACAGACUAGUUUAUUGAAAACGAAAAAACUUUGGCUGGUCUAAUUCCCUUCCUUCUUUCUUGGUUAAGGCAUCUAUCAGAAACCUAAUAUUACAAUUUAGCUAAUUCAGCAUCUCAAUGUUACAUUAAUGUGUUCAUGUUUGUCUUUGGUAAAGAAAGUAAAUGUAUUACGUUCUAUAUGUAAAUUCAUUGGAUAUCCAUAUGCCACACAAUUCACUGUAUUCUGUCUCAUAAGAGAGAUUAUAUAGAGAAUUUAGUUCUUGGAAUCUAUUAUUAUCGUUUUAAAUAAUUAU
This is a long non-coding RNA of Vigna radiata var. radiata (mung bean), 654 nucleotides long. RefSeq lists it as uncharacterized. The record is from RefSeq and is a predicted model, not a curated record. Lineage: Eukaryota; Viridiplantae; Streptophyta; Magnoliopsida; Fabales; Fabaceae. The transcript is spliced from 3 exons.